This 468-nucleotide ribosomal RNA is filed under the name uncultured bacterium. Its description in RNAcentral is "partial 16S ribosomal RNA". The stretch from base 20 to 332 matches the Rfam family "Bacterial small subunit ribosomal RNA", at positions 47 to 358 of the family's 1533-position model. The record is from RNAcentral.
GACGAACGCUGGCGGCGUGCUUAACACAUGCAAGUCGAACGGAAAGGCCCUGCUUUUGUGGGGUGCUCGAGUGGCGAACGGGUGAGUAACACGUGAGUAACCUGCCCUUGACUUUGGGAUAACUUCAGGAAACUGGGGCUAAUACCGGAUAGGAGCUCCUGCUGCAUGGUGGGGGUUGGAAAGUUUCGGCGGUUGGGGAUGGACUCGCGGCUUAUCAGCUUGUUGGUGGGGUAGUGGCUUACCAAGGCUUUGACGGGUAGCCGGCCUGAGAGGGUGACCGGGCAGAUGGGAAGAGGAAGAAGGCACGGACACGAACGGGAAGCGGCGGAGGGGGGUGGAGGACGAUGGGCGGGGAGCAAGCGCGGUAAGGCCAGGAGGAGGGAGAGGGGAAGGGAGUUGGAGACCAAAGUCGCCUGAAAAGGGGGGAGAGUGACGGUAAAGGGUAAAGAAGCUCCGGCUAACUAAGUG